This is a long non-coding RNA of Dinoponera quadriceps, 950 nucleotides long. RefSeq lists it as uncharacterized. The transcript has 3 exons. The record is from RefSeq and is a predicted model, not a curated record. Lineage: Eukaryota; Metazoa; Arthropoda; Insecta; Hymenoptera; Formicidae.
CUCCACGAUUCCAUCAGCUAACCAGAAAACGACUCUCAGCGACAAAGCAACGUAUAAAAACGCGCGCAUUCGUUGCGAAGACGAUUCUUUUCUCGUGAUUAGCUUUUGAUACUUGUGUAUUUAUAUGGUUUAGAAUAUAUUAGUCGUAGAAUCCAACUGUGUAACAAUUAUUUUUGUCUACCCCUCAUUUCUCGAAAGUUGCGAAAUCGAAAUUGGAAUCGCGGACUGCAUCAUCCCGCGCAGUGCCGGAACAUUCGAGAACGAGCGGCUCUGAUUUCUCACCAGAUUCAUCGAUCGUUUCGCCAGACUCCGGAGACCCAGGGUAAACUCGCUGAAAAGCAGAAUGACCUAAAAGCGGAGUCAUCACUCUGUUGAUCGUCCACGUACUCCGAGCAUUAGCGGUAUGAUUUUGGCUCGAUUGGCGGCCAGUACAGAUUCUCGUGUCGACGUGAGAGGAUUGUGUGUUGUUGGAUGAAAAGGAAGAAAUUAAGUGAAAAAAAGAAAUUAAGUGAAAAAGUUUGCAAUGAAGGUGAUUACUGUGGGGGAGGAGACAGCGGUUUUCAAGGCUUUUGUGCGGAUGUAUGAAAAAGCUUUCCAUGUCAGGGGAAAAAGGGGUCGAUGGGAAAGAAUGGACUUGGUGAAUGAAAGACAUUGCUUUCGAUGGGCGACUGGCGAAUUCUGGAGGAAUUCUGGAGGAUCGGCGAGGAGGAUUGGGACAAUGAGGAGGAGUGGAAUACCUUCGGGUUCUGCGAGCUGUAUAGUGUCGAGUGAUAUUAUUCGCAAUAAUAAUAAACUAUUUUAGAUCCCCAAAGAUUUUUUUUAACUUAAUAUCCUCCCUAUAUUCCUCUUUUUUUUUUUAGAUGUAAGUGAAUGCGAUAUAGGGGCGAGUGCGCUGGAGGGUGGGUGAACUUGGGUCGUCGCGAGCGGGCUGCUGGAGGGGGUACCGAUCG